RNAcentral lists this ribosomal RNA (229 nucleotides) under uncultured bacterium. RNAcentral describes it as "partial 16S ribosomal RNA". It matches the Rfam family "Bacterial small subunit ribosomal RNA", at positions 568 to 796 of the family's 1533-position model. The record is from RNAcentral.
UCCGUAGGCGGAUUGAUAAGUCAGAGGUGAAAUCCCACAGCUUAACUGUGGAACUGCCUUUGAAACUGUUAGUCUUGAGUUAUAUGGAAGUAGAUAGAAAGUGUAGUGUAGCGGUGAAAUGCAUAGAGAUUACACAGAAUACCGAUUGCGAAGGCAGUCUACUACGUAUAUACUGACGCUAAUGGACGAAAGCGUGGGGAGCGAACAGGAUUAGAUACCCUGGUAGUCC